AUUUUGGUUUCUCGUUUGUCCAUCUUCUCCUCUAGACCCUGAGCUCUCACGAGGAGAACCCGCUGGGCUGAUAAGCCCUGGCACCAUCUGAGUGCGCAGUGCCCAGUGGCUGAAUGAGCGGGAGACAGGAUCUGUCCCAGCACAGACCAGCUCCGUUGUUUGACCCUCACUGAUUUUAGUCCUGUGAGCCCAGAGUCCCUCCCCCAUCGGCCUUCUCCCUCCUUGGGAUGACAUGCACCUCUGAUGCCAUCAGCACAAGAAGAAAGAUGACAAGGAAAUACACAGAGGAGGGUGUUUCCGGCCAGGUCUUGAAGGCCUCAAGCCCCAACCUCAGAAGAAGAUGCUGAACCACCUCAAGAGCUACCUCUAGCUCCCACUGUGGUCCCUGCCGCAGCUUCAGAGCCUGAGGGGCCUGGAUGGGAACCAGUUGUGAGUGUGAUACAGCUAUGGAUACAGCCGAGGGGAGGCACCUACCUGAAGGAGCCUACUGCAAAGUUUCUAUGGACAACAAGGUGCAUGAUUGAAAGACUUAGGGGUCUUCCCCUGUGGGGGACAUUCCUGGCUUAAAAGUGUUCAAGCGGUGAAGCGGGGCGAUAUCCCAGGUGUGACAGCAUGAUUUCAGGAUCCCUGGGGUCCCCAGAAGACCAGCUGGGGCCCGAAUGCUUCCGAGUUCCCAGACAUCAGUUAGGGAGGAUGGCUGAAAACCAGGAAGCUAGGUCCCGGCUUUCUGCUCUGGGAAGCAAGCUGGGCCCAGACACCACCUUAUUCCAUCCACAAAGUCUCACACAUCUCGCCAUUCUGGUUGCAAUGAAGAAAUGGACUGUACACCAGAAUUUCGUACCUGUGGAUUAUGCCCAGGAUUUAAGGUGCUAGAGAAACAUUUUUUGACACAGG
Molecule: long non-coding RNA, 894 nt
Organism: Mustela erminea (ermine)
Lineage: Eukaryota; Metazoa; Chordata; Mammalia; Carnivora; Mustelidae
Exons: 3
Source: RefSeq, a predicted model, not a curated record